This 905-nucleotide ribosomal RNA is filed under the name uncultured bacterium. RNAcentral describes it as "bacterial SSU rRNA". It matches the Rfam family "Bacterial small subunit ribosomal RNA", at positions 8 to 895 of the family's 1533-position model. The record is from RNAcentral.
AGGGUUUGAUCAUGGCUCAGAACGAACGUUAGCGGCACGCUUAACACAUGCAAGUCGAACGAGAAGCCCUUCGGGGUGGACAGUGGCGCACGGGUGAGGAACACGUAGAUAAUCUACCCCCGAGUGGUGGAUAACGUUUCGAAAGAGACGCUAAUACAGCAUAACACCACGGCCCUUCGGGGUUUUGGCCAAAGCGGAGGACUUCUUCGGAGGCUUCGCGCUUGGGGAUGAGUCUGCGGCCCAUCAGUUAGUUGGUAGUGUAAAGGACUACCAAGGCUAAGACGGGUAGUUGGUCUGAGAGGAUGGACAGCCACACUGGAACUGAGACACGGUCCAGACUCCUACGGGAGGCAGCAGUGGGGAAUCUUGCGCAAUGGGCGAAAGCCUGACGCAGCGAUGCCGCGUGAGCGAUGAAGGCCUUCGGGUUGUAAAGCUCUGUGGAUGGAGACGAAUAAGUGGUAGUUAAUACCUGCCAUGAUGACGGUAUCCAUUUAGCAAGCACCGGCUAACUCUGUGCCAGCAGCCGCGGUAAGACAGAGGGUGCAAACGUUGUUCGGAAUUACUGGGCGUAAAGCGCGUGUAGGCGGCUUUGUGUGUCGGAUGUGAAAUCCCGUGGCUCAACCAUGGAAGUGCAUCCGAAACUGCAAGGCUAGAGUAUCGGAGAGGAAGGUGGAAUGCUUGGUGUAGAGGUGAAAUUCGUAGAUAUCAAGCGGAACACCGGUGGCGAAGGCGGCCUUCUGGACGAUUACUGACGCUGAGACGCGAAAGCGUGGGUAGCAAACAGGAUUAGAUACCCUGGUAGUCCACGCCGUAAACGAUGAGUGCUAGGUGUCAGAGGUUUUGACCCUUCUGGUGCCGUAGUUAACGCGUUAAGCACUCCGCCUGGGGAGUACGGCCGCAAGGCU